This 222-nucleotide non-coding RNA is filed under the name Enterococcus faecium. The record is from RNAcentral. Lineage: Bacteria; Bacillati; Bacillota; Bacilli; Lactobacillales; Enterococcaceae.
AUGAAAACGAGUAGAACAGAAAAGCACUUUGUUAUUCUUAAAGCGAGCCGAUGAGAGUGGAAGUUCGGUAAGACACUGCAUGGUGAAAGAUCCUCUACUUGAGACCUGCUUUUCCGAAAUUAGAGUAAGAAGCAGCGGCUGACCUCGUUAUUGGUCACAGAGAGUUUGCACUAGAUAGAUGCAACUAAAUUUGGGUGGUACCACGGCAUGUUCGUCCCUUGC